Molecule: long non-coding RNA, 503 nt
Filed under: Phoenix dactylifera (date palm)
Lineage: Eukaryota; Viridiplantae; Streptophyta; Magnoliopsida; Arecales; Arecaceae
Description: long non-coding RNA (PDAC_LNC011943)
Source: RNAcentral
AGGAAUCUAUCGACCUUGAUAGAAGAGGAGUGAUCCUAUGUGAUUUGUUAGACUGAGUUCUAAGACCUUGGCCAGGGCAGUAAUAUAAAGUGGAGAAAGAGUUUUCCACUAUCGAACUUAAGUCGAAUAAAUCUUGACAUAUGACAGACGAAGGGGUUUGACGAGUUAUCCAUGACCUCCGUCCUGUAGGGAUCCACGAUAGUAGGACUGUAUCACACGUUAACUGCACCUAGAGGUUCAUCAUUCCAUUCUGCUGGGUAGCCACUACAUGCUGCUAGGUGUCACUGGUGGAUGGUGGGACUCACAGGGAUUAUCUCGAUGAUCGAUAAACCCUAAUGAGUUGAGUUGGAAUCGUUCCAAUCCAUUGAAAGGAGUUUUCAAUGAUAUAGUGAUAGAGAUCGCAAUAUAUCUCACUACCAGUCAGAAUAGAACCUAUGGGGUCACACACACUAGAAGUAUUGACCGAUUCGAUGGUUGAAAAGUGAUUAUGAAUCACGAGUAAU